CGGCGGGGGGGAGCCCGCUCGGGGAGCCGCGGGGCUAAAAUUAGCCAAGUGCGGAGAGUUUAGGGGAAACAACAAUGAAAAAGUGCAUGGAGGGCAGCGGGUUCCCGGUGUCCGGGGCGGUUCGGGAGCGCCUGGAACGGGAUUUCUUCAGCGCGGACAGGAGCGCCCUGCCAGGGCCGGUGCCGCCGGCCGCUGCCGAGGGGAGACGGAUCACACGGAGGCUGGAAAAUCAGAUCCCAGCCCCGCGCAGGAUAUCCAUAGAAACGGAGAUUAAAAGGAUGAAAUAACUUAUUUUGUUCUAAACAAUAAUGUUGCUAUAAAUACGAACAUUUUCCUUGUUCCCUUCCUGAAAAGCGCAGAACAUUUUAGCAGGCUCAUCUCCUAACAUAAUAAAUCGGUGUACACACACAGCCUGCAGAUACCUUGCCCCCCUCGAAAGCAUUCCCUGUUUUUGGUGGGAAAUGGGCAAACCCAGGCUCUGUACCUGUCCCCUCUGGAAUCAAUAAGCUGCACGGUAUUUUUCCAAAUACAGCUACUUUCGCUGUUUUGCACUUCAUCUGUAAAAGGAAAAUAUCUCUUCCCCCCCCAAGUGAGCGAUUGUAGAUUUUUUCUCAAAUUGUAUUUGAUCACCGAGUGAAUUUAGUGCUCGCUCAAGUCCGUGGGCUGACUGCUUGGAAAUGGCUCUGCCUGUCUUUGGAGAAGUUACGGCAGAGACAGCGGCAGAGCAAUUGCCACAGAUUAUUUCCCAAUCUGCUGCCGGCCUCCUUUGGAAGAGCACCAUCAUUUCAGCCUCCAUUUCCACUUUUUGCUGAGGCUGCUGCUUACAAAGAUACUAAUUGCGAUGGCGGGUUUUAUGUUAAUGGGUUCCACGUAAUGAUCAGCCCGACGACUACAGACCUUCAGAUUGUUGGUUGGCUGCGCUGGGAAUAAAACUAAUGGCAUUUGGUUAUGAAAAUGUCAGAUCUCUACAUGGUGAUCUAAACUGGGGGCUCAAUGAGACCAAAAUCCAAGAGCCUCCACGCGACUGCCGUGGGGCUGGACCCAGGGAUGCCCUUGGAUAAGGGAACUCCUUCUCCCCCAGCAGUGCUGUGCCUUGGGGGAGGGCAGCUCCUUGCUGGGAUGAUGCUGGAGAGGAUUGGGGCGCCUGGCUGGGGUCCCCCCUGCUCCGGGGAGAGGGUGUGGGGUGCUGGGAGCGACAGCCGGGGACGGAGCAGGGAUGGAGCUGUGUGAGCCUCCGAAUUCUGACUAACGCCGUAACCGGUUUGGUAGCUCUAAAAUAGGAUUUUAAUCCUGGGAAGCAUCAUUUCACAUUCCAGUGAUCUAAUCAAAAUCCUUUCCUCUAAUCUCUCCAUGGUCCCCCCUUUCUAGAUGAAAGAGGCUGGAGUUCCUGUCUUCACCCUUUCUCCGCUGCCUCCCUGUUCUACCAGUCUGUUCUGUGUCCAGGCAACUGCAAAAAGACAUUUCAAAGGCUCCUGCCGUGCCAUGUAGAUGUUUUCUCUUGUUAGUUUGGACUGCAGGAUCAAGUCCCUCGUUUGCCAUUUUGUGUGGCAGCAAGCCCAAGGAAAUCUUGCUUGACAGCUCUGUUUUCUCAAAGUGCUGCAUUUCUUCGGGCUGGAUUCUGUAAAGAUCCUGCAGGCUACAGAGCUCCUUGGAGCAAGCGAUAAUGUGCUUUGUGUUCCUGCUGAAAUGUACCUGUGUACGAUGGGAGAGGGAGCUUGGAAAACUGGCUGCACCCUGGCAAGAAGAUGGUUGGAAUAAAGUUUUCUUGUGUUAUAAUGUU
Molecule: long non-coding RNA, 1780 nt
Organism: Parus major (Great Tit)
Lineage: Eukaryota; Metazoa; Chordata; Aves; Passeriformes; Paridae
Exons: 2
Source: RefSeq, a predicted model, not a curated record